This 894-nucleotide ribosomal RNA is filed under the name Laccaria amethystina. Its description in RNAcentral is "eukaryotic LSU rRNA". It matches the Rfam family "Eukaryotic large subunit ribosomal RNA", at positions 66 to 941 of the family's 3401-position model. The record is from RNAcentral. Lineage: Eukaryota; Fungi; Basidiomycota; Agaricomycetes; Agaricales; Hydnangiaceae.
UAACAAGGAUUCCCCUAGUAACUGCGAGUGAAGCGGGAAAAGCUCAAAUUUAAAAUCUGGCAGUCUUUGGCUGUCCGAGUUGUAAUCUAGAGAAGUAUUAUCCGCGCUGGACCGUGUACAAGUCUCCUGGAAUGGGGCGUCAUAGAGGGUGAGAAUCCCGUCUUUGACACGGACUGCCAGGGCUUUGUGAUGUGCUCUCAAAGAGUCGAGUUGUUUGGGAAUGCAGCUCAAAAUGGGUGGUAAAUUCCAUCUAAAGCUAAAUAUUGGCGAGAGACCGAUAGCGAACAAGUACCGUGAGGGAAAGAUGAAAAGAACUUUGGAAAGAGAGUUAAACAGUACGUGAAAUUGCUGAAAGGGAAACGCUUGAAGUCAGUCGCGUUGGCCAGGGAUCAACCUUGCUUUUGCUUGGCCUUACUUUCUGGGUUAAAUGGGUCAAGCAUCAAUUUUGACUGGUGGGAAAAAGUUCAAGGGAAUGUGGCAUCUUCGGAUGUGUUAUAGCCUUUGUUCGCAUACAUUGGUUGGGAUUGAGGAACUCAGCACGCCGCAAGGCCGGGUUUUUAACCACGUACGUGCUUAGGAUGCUGGCAUAAUGGCUUUAAUCGACCCGUCUUGAAACACGGACCAAGGAGUCUAACAUGCCUGCGAGUGUUUGGGUGAAAAACCCGAGCGCGUAAUGAAAGUGAAAGUUGAGAUCCCUGUCGUGGGGAGCAUUGACGCCCGGAUCUGACCUUUUGUGACGAUUCUGCGGUAGAGCAUGUAUGUUGGGACCCGAAAGAUGGUGAACUAUGCCUGAAUAGGGUGAAGCCAGAGGAAACUCUGGUGGAGGCUCGUAGCGAUUCUGACGUGCAAAUCGAUCGUCAAAUUUGGGUAUAGGGGCGAAAGACUAAUCGAACC